CCUACGGGUGGCAGCAGUGAGGAAUAUUGGUCAAUGGACGAGAGUCUGAUCCAGCCACGUAGCGUGAAGGAUGACUGCCUUCUGGGUUGUAAGCUUCUUUUAUAAAGGAAUAAAACGAGGCACGUGUGCCUUUUGCAUGUACUUUAUGAAUAAGGAUCGGCUAACUCCGUGCCAGCAGCAGCGGUAAUACGGAGGAUCCGAGCGUUAUCCGGAUUUAAUGGGUUUAAAGGGAGCGUAGAUGGGUUGUUAAGUCAGUUGGGAAAGUUUGCGGCUCAACCGUAAAAUUGCAAUUGAUACUGGCAGUCUAGAGUACAGUUGAGGUAGGCGGAAUUCGAGGUGUAGCGGUGAAAUGCGUAGAUAUCACGAAGAACACCGAUUGCGAAGGCAGCUUACUAAACUGAGACUGACAUUGAGGCUCGAAAGUGUGGGGAGCAAACAGGAUUAGAUACCCGGGUAGUC
RNAcentral lists this ribosomal RNA (459 nucleotides) under uncultured bacterium. RNAcentral describes it as "partial 16S ribosomal RNA". It matches the Rfam family "Bacterial small subunit ribosomal RNA", at positions 338 to 795 of the family's 1533-position model. The record is from RNAcentral.